UGAAGAAAAAGAUGAUUUGAAUUAUCUGUGAUAGUUGCUAGUACUGUAAUGUCUUCUAUCAUGUAUAGAAUAUAGGUGGUUUUAGUAAAUAUCUAAGAUGUACAUUUACUUAAUGACCAUGGUAUAUCAAACAAUGCUUUUAAAAGAUUUUAUUAUUCAUUCUUAAUUUUUAAUUGCAACUUUUUCAUUAUAGAAACUGUGAGAAAACCGAUCCAUGUGAAUAUGAAUAGAGACAUAAAAAUGCCCCUGAGAAAACAUGAUUUAGAACUUGCAAUGUCGCCUCAUCUUGUCCCGUCUAACCUUUGCAUUGAUGAUAUGGAAAACAAUUUACACUAUGAAAGACAAGGCAGCAAGGAAGAACUUGGCCCAGUUAAGCUCAGUAAUGUUAAUUAUUCUAAUUCCGUGAUUUCAAA
This is a non-coding RNA of Equus caballus (horse), 413 nucleotides long. Lineage: Eukaryota; Metazoa; Chordata; Mammalia; Perissodactyla; Equidae. The record is from RefSeq and is a predicted model, not a curated record.